This 230-nucleotide unclassified non-coding RNA is filed under the name Hevea brasiliensis (rubber tree). Lineage: Eukaryota; Viridiplantae; Streptophyta; Magnoliopsida; Malpighiales; Euphorbiaceae. The record is from RNAcentral.
UGAUUUGUGUCAUAGUUGUCAACUAAUGGUGCAACUGAGGCUCUUUUUCCAUUCUUAGUACUAGUUAGGGCGUUCAGGACUUUGCCAUCAUAUUCUAUGACUUGAUGCCAAUUUUCAUAUGCUUGCUUGACCAGAGAAUCUACUGAUACCUUUUGAUUACGGUGAAGCGAAUCCAAAGGGAGAAACUGCCCAUCAGUAAUAAGGCCUCUGAGUUCAUAAAUAUGGUUGAA